This is a long non-coding RNA of Nerophis ophidion (straightnose pipefish), 3652 nucleotides long. RefSeq lists it as uncharacterized. Lineage: Eukaryota; Metazoa; Chordata; Actinopteri; Syngnathiformes; Syngnathidae. The transcript is spliced from 5 exons. The record is from RefSeq and is a predicted model, not a curated record.
AAAAGUUUGGAAACACCUUCUCAUUUCAACGUGUUUUCUUUGUUUUCAUGACUAUUUACAUUGUCAGCGAAGGCAUCACAACUAUGACAUCUGUGAAGUGAGAACCCUUUCAGAAGCUCGUCGAGAGAAUGCCAAGAGUGUACAAAGCAGUAAUCCGAGCAAAGGGUGGCUAUUUUGAAGAAACUACAAUACAAAACAUGUUUUUGGUUACUUUACCUUUUUUUGUUAAGUACAUAACUCCACAUGUGUGCAUUCCUAGUUUUGAUGCCUUCAGUGACAAUCUACUAUGUAAAUAGUCUUAAAAAUAAAGAAAGCGGAGAGUGAAGCAUGAACAUCCGGCUUAUCAAACCCUCUGAUUCUUUGCUCGCAGGUGAGAACAAUAAUUAUUACUCAACAGCCGCAGUGAAAUGGCUGCAUGACAACACUAACCAAACAGGAAAUGGAAAGAAAAUAAGAGCGCUGAGCAGGAAAACAACCCCCCAACACAGGAAAACAUCACAAAACCCCCAAAAAAACAAGUACUUCCAACAAAGAAGAGAGUGCCAGCAAACAAAAACCCUUUGAUGAAUUUGUUUUUGGAAGCAACGGCAGCAGCAUCCCCUCCCGAGCCCAACGUACCUGCAGAGGAAGAGAAUCACAGUGUCUGCGGCCGUCAGCGUGGAGGAAAUGAGUCUGAUGGAGGAGAACUUUGAGCUGCCAGAGUUCAAUGACAGCAUCUUUGGGAGCUUGAAGAAACACUUGAACCACAGCAACUGGAAGAGCUUUGAAUGGUGGCUGGGCAACAAUAUCCUCUUCCAGGUGUCCCAGCUCAAGGCUGUGUCCCCCACUGCUGAGCCAGGCUACUACAAGGCAUUACUACUGUAUUUUACGCACUAGAAGGUGCACUUAGAAUCCUUUUUUUGACGUUCAUGUUGAAAUAAGUGUGACUAGUAGAUGGCAGUCAAACAUAAGAGAUACGUGUAGACUGCAAUAUGAUGGCAUUCACACACAAGAGAUACUGUAUGUGUAGAUUCAAGAGAUUCAAGAUUGUUUAUUGUCAUAUGCACAGUUAGUUUGCCGUACAAUGAAAAUUUUACUUUGCUAGUCCACCCUUCAAUAAGUCACACGGUACUUAGCUAAAAAUAAAAAUAAAAAAGUAUAUACAGUAAGUAACAUAACAUUAUUGCACAUUCUGAUUGACAGUCAACAGUAUAAAUAUGGAGGUGACCUUGGGUCACAGCAGCAGUUAAAGUGUCUUUAGUGAUCAAAGGUAAAAGGUGUCUACAGUGAUGGUUCACAGUUCGGGGGUGGUCAAGGUAGCUGUCUUUUGUUCAAAAAGUUAAAAGUAAAGACGGGGGGAGCUAGCAUUCACAAGUUAGCAUUCACAAGCCUGGUGGCCUGUGGGUAGAAACUGUUUGUCAGUCUGGUAGUCCUGGAUUUCAGGCUCCUGUAUGGUCUACCUGAUGGUAGGAGGCUGAAGAGACUGUGCUGGGGGUGUGUACUGUCCUUUAUGAUGUUGUGAGAUCUCCUGGUGGUCCUGGUAGACUUCAUGUCCUGUAGUGAGGGGAAUGCUGCUAGACUGCACUAUGAUGGCAAUAUGACUCAAGUAAAAUUGUAUAUGUUCCAUUGAGAAUAUAGAACAUUACACACGGCGCUCAAAAAUCUAUCAAAAUGUUUUAUUAGGACUUUGGUAAGCUAUAAAGCCGCACCAUUAGAUGGAUUGUACUGUGCUUCAACAUACCAGUAUUAUUAUGGUGUGUGUAUAAGGUAAGACAUAUUAUCAGGAGUUUUGUUUCGCUAUAUUAUGCAAAACCAACUUUUCUUACAUUCUGGUACCUACUGAUCUGUAUUUGGGAUCUCUAUAAGACCUGAAAAAUUGUGCGCUUCCGCCUUUGUAGUCCAUGGCGACACCGUAGUCGAUAAGAUUCUUCCUUUUUGUCUAUCUUAAAAAGCGAAAGUACCAACGAUAGUCACACACACACUAGGUGUGGUGAAAUUAUUCUCUGCAUUUGACCCAUCACCAUUGAUCACCCCCUGGGAGGUGAGGGGAGCAGUGAGCAGCCGUGAUGACCACGCCCGGGAAUCAAUUUUGGUGAUGUGGAUUUAACCCCCAAAUUCCAAGCCUUGAUGCUGAGUGCCAAGCAGGGAGGUCAUGGCUCCCAUUUUUAUAGUCUUUGGUAUGACUCGGCCAGGGUUUGAACUCACAACCUACCCAUCUCAGGGCGAUAGCCUGUAAUGCCAGGUUUCCACAGGUUUUAAAACGACUUUUGGAGAUCUUCAGAAGACCCUGGCCUGAAGACUGGAGGCUACGACCUGAAGAGUAGCAAGCAAGUGAUGUACUAAGGGGCCCCACUAUGCAAUGCAUGGAAUGUCAGGACUAAAAUUUUAAAGUCAAUACGGAAUUUAACUGGAAGCCAAUGAAGACUGGAUGAAAUGGGAGUGGGUGCACCGGUCAGAAGUACUCGACGUGCUUCCUGUGCUGCACUAUUUCUGCUUAGUUUUCCCCUUUAAAGGGUUUUUACUUGCACUUCGCCUGCUAUGUCUGCAUCCCGGGGUCCACACGAUAACGCAACAGGCAGUUUGACCCUGGUAAUUAAAUUUCCAUUAUUCGCAGUGGGAGAAAUAGCAUCGGCGUCCUUAGAAUGUCAGUAGUAUCAGUCGGUGGUCUGUAAGAGCAAAGAAGCCCUUAGGUGGGGAGGGUUUUAUCUCCCCAUCCAGCGUCAGCCAUCAGGACCAAGUGUCAAAUGCAAGCUGAGGCCGGCGGCAGCCAGCUCUCUUCUUACCGCCACGCGUGUGACCAGCAGGGCCGCUACCUCGCCACUCAGUGCUGGCGCGCCAUGGGUUUGUGCUGGUGUGUGGAAGACACCGCCUCACUGGACCUCGACCUUGACUGUAGAGUUGUGACAGAUGAUUGGAUUGAUGGACGGGAGGAUGGUGUUGAACAUCAGGUAGGACUCAUCUUUCUUGUCAUCUGGUGGAUGUUUGCAUAAUCAGUCAUUUAGGCUCUUUAAAGUCCUACUGAAAGCCACUACUAGCGACCACGCAGUCUGAUAGUUUAUAUAUCAAUGAUGAAAUAUUAACAUUGCAACACAUGCCAAUACGCCCGCUUUACUUUACUAAAUUGCAAUUUUACAUUUCCCGCUGAUUUUUUUGUUGAAAACGUCGUGGAAUGAUGACGUGUGUUUGUGACGUCCUGGGUUGUAGCGGACAUAUUAGCCAGCACCACUCACGGCUAAAAGUUAUCUGUUUCCAUCGCAUAAUUACACAGUAUUUUGGACAUCUGUGUUGCUGAAUCUUUUGCAAUUUGUUCAAUUAAUAAUGGAGGAGUCAAAGUAGAAAGAUGGAGUUGGGAAGCUUUAGUCUUUAGCCACACAAACACACAGUGAUUCCUUGUUUAAAAUUCCUGAAGAUGAAGCUUUACUAUGGAUCAGAGCGGUCAAGCGAACAUGGAUCCCGACUACAUGUCAACCGGCAGUUUUCAGUGAGAAAAUUGUGGUAAUAAGUCGCCUCUUACCGGAGAUCAGUGGAGCUUGCGUCGUCCAUGCAGCUGCCGUGACUUCCCUCAGAGACUCUGGCGUCAAAACAUUGCUGUUUGUUUUUAAAUCUUUACAUGGACUGGCACCUCAAUAUAUCUCCGACUUCAUCCAAAUUUACAUUCCUGUGCGCGCUCUGA